RNAcentral lists this long non-coding RNA (876 nucleotides) under Homo sapiens (human). RNAcentral's name for it is "HSALNT0319614". Lineage: Eukaryota; Metazoa; Chordata; Mammalia; Primates; Hominidae. The record is from RNAcentral.
GAGUCAGUGCGGAGCCCCGUGAGGCGCGGGGAGAAGAGGCAGCGGGCGGAGGGGAGCAGCGGGUGGUCCGAGGCGGCGCAGCCCAGGGUGGGCGCCUGGUAGGUCCUGCCGCGCGAGCAUGGGGCAGCUGCUGUGGCUGCGGGGCCAGGAAGAGAGCGCAGCCUCCACAGAGCCAUUCCGGACCGCUGCCUCCGCCGGCUCCACAGCCCACGCGCGCACUCGCUGCAGCCCCAACCUAGGGCGUCUGCUCUGGGCGGGCCGGGAGCGGUGUUUGCUCCCCGGCUUAGUGCCGCCCGCCCUGAUUUGGAGCGAUUGCACUGGCUUGGGUACAUCCCAGCUCAUAGAUUCAGCUACAGUUGGCAAUCAUCCGCAAAGACUCCAGCCUAAGACCUUUAGACCCCCGUAAAAUGUGACAUUUGAAGCAAAAAUAUCAUCCACGUUUUAUCCUAGACCCACGUUCUCUGGCUCUUGUCGACGGCGCAAGCUAACGCAAACACACAUGGUCGGACGCAUGCACAGCACGCCUAGAAGCGGAUCAAGAAGUAAUUAUAGAACAAGCUUUCCAGCGCCUCACUCAGUCACACCUCCUUCAAGAGCUGUGAAAUGGAAAGAAAACAGUUACUCCAGCUGCGACGUCUGAAGGGGCCCCGCACUUCGUCCCUGGUCAUAAGACACCGCAAGAGUUUAGUUAAGUGGCUUGAUACCAAGGAAGAGGUGGGCCCUGCACUCCUAAAAUCCCAAGCUCCGGCCCCUUACAGUCUCAUCUGAGAAACACAUCUUCAACGGCAGGCCAAAUUCCUCCUGCGAGCAACAUUCUGUAGCUGCAGCUGAUGGCAAGAUGUCACCAGCGGCUGAUGGCAAAAUGUCACCAGAGUC